UGCCCAUGUAGUCUAUGUGGGUUUUCAGUCUGUCAGUGUCCCUAAGCAAAGGCACAGUCUUAAAUUGUGAAUGAACAUAAUUUCAUCAAUUUUAAUACUGCUCACCACAUUCUGAUGUAAAGAUCUGUUGUGGCUCUGUUGUGAUUGAUAGCUCGGAGGGCAGAACCAAAGUAUAAUCGAGAUCAACGAUUGGCUGAAAGUUACACAUCAGACUUGAAUUCACUCAGUGUGAAUUUGUAAACAGGAAUUUGGAUUCGCGCUCUGUUGGAAAUGUAGAAGAAGCUGUAUGAAGGGAAAAUAUAAAUCAUGCGUUGCGUGGUUCAGGGCUGUGAUAGUUAUACAAAAAGACAGCAAAUACAUUUUCCCAAACGAUCCUGAACUUUGCAAACAAUGGCUGCUUGCCAUUCGAUACCCUGGCUACAAUCCCUAUCGAUUUCGCAGAGUUACAGCCUUUACGUGUAUGUUGUGAACACUUUGUAAGAAAUGAUUAUCCGGAAUCGGCAAGCUACAAACCACAGCUCAAACCUGGUUCUGUCCCUACCAUCUUCCCAUGGUUCACCGAAGACACCGGGUCCGAUACUACCGACAAUGCGGCUACAGCGAGCUCAUCGUCUGCUGUACCACCGCAGGGCACAGCAGUGAUAUCACAUUUGAGAUAUCUAGACUCCCUACAAGUGAUGAGUCCUGCCCAGAUACGUCAUUUGUUGGUCCACUUUGGAAGAAUGACAAGUGGAUUGUUUAUGAAUCGAAACUUUUGGAGCUUUUAAAAAAAUGCAGAGAAUGUCAGGGGCCUGUUGAAACAAUGGUAAAGAAAAGACAAGGUGGGAUGCUCAAAAUAGAAUGGGUCUGUAUCAACAACAACUCAGGACACUGGACAUCCUGUCCAUCAAUCCGAGGUGUUCCAGAAAUCAACCUCCUCACCUCGCUUUGCUGUCCUGUUCACAAGACAUUCUUCAAACUGGACAGGGGAUUGAUGUCUGUGGAGAUGACAGAGGUGACUCACCAGGCCACAAUGCCAAAUACACCACAUACAGCAUGAUGGAAGACUCUACUAAGAGAGUGAUCCACUUUGAACUUGUGCAGAUCCUCUGAAGUUCUGAAUGCUUAUUAAUUUGGCUCUUCAGAUAAUGCAGAGUCAUCAGGGAGUAUACAGUAUUCAAGAAAGAUUUUGGAUGUGAAGAUGGGUAAGAAUUUUUUGUGGAUAUUUCCCGAUAGAAAUUCCCAUAUUCUUGGCAUCUGGUUUUAUAGCUGCCUAGAGAGCAUCCUAUUGUUAUUUAAAAAAUAAUUCAAAUACAAAUUACAUUUAGAAAUAUAUAAAGCACAGUUAUUCUAAGGAAUAUGUUCACAUAUUAGCAAUGCCCAUGAAUAAUCAGAAGUUAUGACAAAAUUUGAACUCAGGAAAGGCAUAUAUUCUCUAAACACUCUAUAUAUAAUGCUCUUGUUUGUUUUGUUAUUAAAAUCUGAAGUGAGACAUCUUUAGAUCCCUGUAAUAAAGUGUAUUUAUUGACUUCUGCUGAGCUGCUCAGACAGUCCUUUCCCAACUCAAUUUUACCUUCUACCCUGUGUAUUAUCUUUAGGCUUGGGUAUAAUUUCACUGCAACAGAGUACACUUCAACAAAUACCAGAGGAUAUUUUUGUCAGUAUGGUGGCUCAGAAUUUUAUACUCUGUUUGAUUUCUUUUAUUAUGCAUCUCCACCAAAGCUUUUGAUGGCAGUCUAUGAACUAGUAAACCAUUCCUGGCCUCUAAAGAUGUAAAACACUUACCUACUGCAGGAAAUACAAAUUUGCCAUCUGUCUCUAUCAAGUCACCCUGCUAUUUAUUUCUGCUGAUUGUGCUUCUGUUGUGUGUGGUGGUAGGUAUUUGUAAAUGAAAUAAACUGAUAUGUUCAAACUCAAAAGAACUCUAAACUGCGUCUGACAAGGGUGAUGCAAUUUUUUUCUAUGCUGGCACCUGCUAGUGCUAGUGUAUCUUUCUUAUUUCAUGACUGUCUUGCUGUGGUUCCAUGGAAACACAUUAGCAUCUUACAGAAAACAACUUGUUCCGUUUAAUUUGUUUAUUGAGUACUUAAUUUUCAUUCGCUGUCAGCAGUCCCCAAGGAAAGGCACUUACCCUUGCAAAAGCAGAUACUCAAGAGAUCGGAGCAAUACAAUAUAAGUAUACAGCAAAGGUAUUACUUCUGUAACAAGUCACAAAUUUGCCUUAAAUUCAUUGCAAGUGAUUUAAAAA
Molecule: long non-coding RNA, 2227 nt
Organism: Anguilla rostrata (American eel)
Lineage: Eukaryota; Metazoa; Chordata; Actinopteri; Anguilliformes; Anguillidae
Exons: 4
Source: RefSeq, a predicted model, not a curated record